AGUGAACGCCGGCGGUAGGCCUAACACAUGCAAGUCGAACGGCAGCACAGUAAGAGCUUGCUCUUACGGGUGGCGAGUGGCGGACGGGUGAGGAAUACAUCGGAAUCUACUUUUUCGUGGGGGAUAACGUAGGGAAACUUACGCUAAUACCGCAUACGACCUACGGGUGAAAGCAGGGGAUCUUCGGACCUUGCGCGAUUGAAUGAGCCGAUGUCGGAUUAGCUAGUUGGCGGGGUAAAGGCCCACCAAGGCGACGAUCCGUAGCUGGUCUGAGAGGAUGAUCAGCCACACUGGAACUGAGACACGGUCCAGACUACUACGGGAGGCAGCAGUGGGGAAUAUUGGACAAUGGGCGCAAGCCUGAUCCAGCCAUACCGCGUGGGUGAAGAAGGCCUUCGGGUUGUAAAGCCCUUUUGUUGGGAAAGAAAAGCAGCAGGUUAAUACCCCGCUGUUCUGACGGUACCCAAAGAAUAAGCACCGGCUAACUUCGUG
This 492-nucleotide ribosomal RNA is filed under the name uncultured bacterium. Its description in RNAcentral is "partial 16S ribosomal RNA". It matches the Rfam family "Bacterial small subunit ribosomal RNA", at positions 29 to 507 of the family's 1533-position model. The record is from RNAcentral.